CCUACGGGGGGCAGCAGUGAGGAAUAUUGGUCAAUGGCCGGAAGGCUGAACCAGCCAUGCCGCGUGAAGGUCAGUGCCCUAUGGGCGUUAAACUUCUUUUGUGCGGGAGCAAUAAUGGUCACGUGUGGCCAGACGAGAGUACCGUACGAAUAAGCAUCGGCUAACUCCGUGCCAGCAGCCGCGGUAAUACGGGGGAUGCAAGCGUUAUCCGGAUUUAUUGGGUUUAAAGGGUGCGUAGGCUGUGAGGUAAGUCAGCGGGGAAAUGCCCCCGCUCAACGGGGUGAAGUGCCAUUGAUACUGCCUUGCUGGAGUGCGGAUGACGUGGGAGGAAUGUGUGGUGUAGCGGUGAAAUGCAUAGAUAUCACGCAGAACACCGAUUGCGAAGGCAUCUCACGAAUCCGCGAUUGACGCUGAUGCACGAAAGCGUGGGUAUCAAACAGGAUUAGAUACCCUGGUAGUC
Molecule: ribosomal RNA, 460 nt
Filed under: uncultured bacterium
Lineage: Bacteria
Description: partial 16S ribosomal RNA
Rfam family: Bacterial small subunit ribosomal RNA
Source: RNAcentral